This 253-nucleotide ribosomal RNA is filed under the name uncultured bacterium. RNAcentral's name for it is "partial 16S ribosomal RNA". It matches the Rfam family "Bacterial small subunit ribosomal RNA", at positions 524 to 776 of the family's 1533-position model. The record is from RNAcentral.
UACGUAGGGUGCAAGCGUUGUCCGGAAUCAUUGGGCGUAAAGCGCGCGUAGGCGGCUUUUCAAGUCGAUUGUGAAAUCCCCGGGCUCAACCUGGGAACUGCAGUCGAGACUGUCUAGCUAGAGUAUGGGAGAGGGAAGUGGAAUUUCAGGUGUAGCGGUGAAAUGCGUAGAUAUCUGAAGGAACAUCAAUGGCGAAGGCAGAUCUCUGGGCCGUAACUGACGCUGAGGAGCGAAAGCAUGGGGAGCGAACAGG